Molecule: long non-coding RNA, 2159 nt
Organism: Odontomachus brunneus
Lineage: Eukaryota; Metazoa; Arthropoda; Insecta; Hymenoptera; Formicidae
Exons: 4
Source: RefSeq, a predicted model, not a curated record
AGUACAUGCUGAGGAAGUCUUGAGGACUUUUCUUCGUCCUCAGGGAGUCGAUUCUGUAUCUCGAAACGAAGUGAAAAUUACAAAAGUGAGCAAAUAUACUAGAAUAUUCGUAAUUUCAUUAAUCAGUGCCUAGUGAAUGUGCUCACUUUUGUAAUUUUCACUUCGUUUCGAGAUACAGAAUUGACUCUCAGGACGUCCUCAGGACGUACCAGGAGAUCUUGUGUUGUCUGGGUAUAUAGAUGUAUUAAUGAAACUGAUUCAAGAGCAGCGAGUAGGAUUGGAGGGCGAGUUUUUUUAAUUCAUCGAUGGAUCCAUCGGUGAAUUAAAAACCGUACCUAGACAGAAAUGAAAAGUCAGGUCGACAUCGAUUCGACUUUUCAUUUCUGGCAGGUUAUUUUAGAAGGAUUGGUUCGACCGUCUGGGAAAUGUAACGGCGACUCGAAAGAGAAGGAUCUUACUCUUCCUGCAACGAGGUAUCAAGUCAAAUGGAAAACAAAUCAGCAACAGCAGUUAGUCGAACUUUAUCCUGAUUGUGACUAUGUAUUACCUCGAGGAUAAUUUUUGAACGGUGACGGCUGAUACUUGGGCUCGAUGUGGAUUCCGCUAGUGCUAUAGAACUCUGGCGAACUGUCCAAAUUAUAAGAAUGCGGUGUCUGGUGAUCUUGCGGCAAGCUGUGAUACUCAGAGGUAUCGUCGUAUCCGGAAUAAUGUGCCGGCGUCAUGUAACUCUCUGUGGCAGUCGUGCUAACUCUCAAGUCGCUCUCGUUAUUGCCUGUACCAGUGAGAUCACCCCCGCUGCCCAGUCCGCCACCUCCGCCUUGGAGAUGUUCCGCUAUGUGAUGAUUGCUGUAGUUCGCUGUAAGUUUAUUUUCACAAAUUAAUACACUUUGCUUCUUUGCUGUUAUAAUUCAAAUUAUUUAAAACAACUAGAAGUGUACAAUACCAAAGAUGUUCAGUGAGAACACUAUUGAGUAAAAAAACACUAUGUAAACAGACAUUUAGGAAACAAAGUACUUUAUGCUUAAUGUUACAAGUAUAUUGACGAGUAAGAUAAGAUAUAGAAAUAUAGUACUUACAUUCCGUUUUGAGCUGAUUUAAAUUCCGUAAAUGGAUGUACGCAUUGUUAGCAUUGUUGUUGUUAUUAUUAUUGUUAUUAGUAUUAGGAGUACUAGAGUGAGAGGUCGGUGGUUGAGUGCUAUGGCUGUGGGGCGGUGGCGACGUUUCGUCUCUUUGACUCUCGUCUUGGCACACGGGACUGCGAAGAUGAUUGUAACCGCCUGAAAACAGAAGAAAGAAAUAUUUUAUUUUUCGGUACUCUCCAACGCGGUACACAGUGUUCUCUCGUCGAUAUUAACGAGUACUUAGUUACGGCUUCGUCGCCGCUAAAUCAGACUAAGGAUCAAGGAAGAAAGGACAAUGCCGCACGUCUCUUCGCCGCAGCGUGCGACACUCUGCAAUGGAGGAACCGCUGACACGUGGGCGGCGCGUAUCUCGACGAUUGGCCCGAACCAACUCCGCCUAUCCUCGACUUCCGCUCUACGAUCACGAAGAGAGAACCCAAGCGAGCUGGCCGCGCGGAGAGCCGCCGAGGUUCCAUCGCGGAGGUUGUUGAGGCUGUGCGCGCACGUUCGGUAAAUGAAGAGCCUUCGAAUCGCCACAUGGUAUAUACUUAGCAACGUAGCAAUGUCGCGAUCGUUAAAUUAAUGAAGUGUUGUGACGCAGAUCAGCUCUGUCACGUACAAAUCCUUCAUGUUAAAUUGCACACCGCAGCAACUUGGAUUUAAGAUUCAAGUCUACAAGUCUUUUGAAAAUUCGAUUUUUCAAAGAUGUUUUGACCUACUUAACUCUUCAAAUUUUUGUAAGACUUAAGUUAGCUUUUCCUCGUACUAACAAGGGAACAUAGGCAAUCCGAAAAUUCACAAAAUUCUGAAACAUUGUGUACAAGUAGAGUAGUACAUCCAUAAUAUGACUAUUUUUUGUUUCUGCUAAAUUUCGAUUUAAGGGGGUGAAACCACCCCUCGAAACCAAUAAGUGGGUUCAAAGGGGGGUUUAAAAAUUUUUUAUUUUUGCAAAAUUUGAAUACACCGUUGCAAAGAAUAUAAAAUAUUCUAUCACUUUUAUAUAAACUAUUUUUUCAUAUGCCUUGUAUUUUAGGAAAU